Molecule: transfer RNA, 56 nt
Filed under: Salmo salar (Atlantic salmon)
Lineage: Eukaryota; Metazoa; Chordata; Actinopteri; Salmoniformes; Salmonidae
Rfam family: tRNA
About the family: Transfer RNA (tRNA) molecules are approximately 80 nucleotides in length.
Source: Rfam by way of RNAcentral
GCUCAGUUGGUAGAGCAUGGCACUUGCAAUGCUAGGGUUGUGGGUUUGAUUCCCAU